This is a long non-coding RNA of Maylandia zebra (zebra mbuna), 668 nucleotides long. RefSeq lists it as uncharacterized. The record is from RefSeq and is a predicted model, not a curated record. Lineage: Eukaryota; Metazoa; Chordata; Actinopteri; Cichliformes; Cichlidae.
AAGACUUCAAAUUUAACUGAAAAAGGCUGUUUUGGCGCCAAGCUACUGUUUCUUUGAGAGAUCCUGCCUUUACCUGCUCCCUCCUAUACUGAUGUGGUGUAUGUGGUAUUGCUGAGCUUGUAUGUGGUGGAAGCAGAAUAUGUGAGGAUUACUACUGCUGCACAUGUUCCAAGGCUUUUUACACAACUUGACCAAUACACUGACCAGCUCAUAAAAGUCUUCAAGAAAAAAGGAGGCGUUGCAGGGAAGAAAAUUAGACAAACUUUGGCCCCAGCCACACAGAAGGAAACCAUUGAAAAGGGGAGGGAGUGUGUCCUCAGGGCACUACCUUUUUACCUGAAUGAAGACCCAAGCAUCCUCUUCAAAGAAUAAUUGCUACAGCUGUUCAGAGGGAGCUGGAACAAAUUACCCUUGCUAUCUUUACCAUCGAAAGAGCUGAUGCCAGCACUCCUCCAGCCGAUGUGGGUGUAAGCGCCAGACGUCUGCUUUAUAUUUUUAUUUACGAUUGAGUUCAUGUUUGUUUUAUAAUUCAUAGAUUCAUUACAUAAGUCAUCUUUUCAGGAUUAAUAAAUGUGAAAAUAUAUGUGUUUACAUAAAGUAAUUUUAAGUCACUGUUUUGGGAUUGGAACCUAAAAGGGGGUACCUCUCACUUUAAUUAUGUAAGUGCA